UGUUCUACGGGGGGCAGCAGUGGGGAAUAUUGGACAAUGGGGGAAACCCUGAUCCAGCGACGCCGCGUGAGUGAAGAAGUAUUUCGGUACGUAAAGCUCUAUCAGCAGGAAAGAAAAUGACGGUACCUGACUAAGAAGCCCCGGCUAACUACGUGCCAGCAGCCGCGGUAAUACGUAGGGGGCAAGCGUUAUCCGGAUUUACUGGGUGUAAAGGGAGCGUAGACGGCAGGGCAAGUCUGGAGUGAAAGGCGGGGGCCCAACCCCCGGACUGCUCUGGAAACUGUGUAACUGGAGUGCAGGAGAGG
RNAcentral lists this ribosomal RNA (305 nucleotides) under uncultured bacterium. RNAcentral describes it as "bacterial SSU rRNA". It matches the Rfam family "Bacterial small subunit ribosomal RNA", at positions 335 to 657 of the family's 1533-position model. The record is from RNAcentral.